Long non-coding RNA from Papaver somniferum (opium poppy), 490 nucleotides. RefSeq lists it as uncharacterized. NCBI's taxonomy places the organism in Eukaryota, Viridiplantae, Streptophyta, Magnoliopsida, Ranunculales, Papaveraceae. The record is from RefSeq and is a predicted model, not a curated record. The transcript has 3 exons.
UGAAAGUAUCGGUACUUAUAGGUAUGGGCGUUCAUAAAUUUGUGUUGUGUUUGUAACAGCUGCCGAGAUGACUAUUUUUGGUUGCUUUUGGACAAAUGGCCAAAUCUAUAGUGCAACACCUCCCCUUCUACUGCAUUGGUGUACUAAGAUUCGUCAUGGAAAGUGGUAACAAGGGUUGUUAGGUUCUCUUGAUAUCCUGGUUACUUUGGAGCUUACACCUUAGUGAGAGGCAUGAUAGUCUCAAAGCAUUUUUUAUAUGUUUCUUUUGGUUUGGCAUCAGCUCUGCAGUUUUAACAUUUCAAUUCUUGCCUGUCACACGUUGUCGGAACAUCGUCUAUUGGUUUAUCAAUUAGUUUAGCAUGUUGUUGUUUGAACUUACUAGCUAGCUUGGACAUAUAUUGUUCUGAACUCAAAAUUUCCUCCUUUUUUGUGUAAUUUUAAACCCAAUGGAUAAAAUGAAUGAAUGUUAAAAUUCUCAGUUUGAUUAUAA